This 433-nucleotide ribosomal RNA is filed under the name uncultured bacterium. RNAcentral's name for it is "partial 16S ribosomal RNA". It matches the Rfam family "Bacterial small subunit ribosomal RNA", at positions 29 to 507 of the family's 1533-position model. The record is from RNAcentral.
AACGAACGCUGGCGGCAUGCCUAACACAUGCAAGUCGAACGAGACCUUCGGGUCUAGUGGCGCACGGGUGCGUAACGCGUGGGAACCUGCCUUUAGGUUCGGAAUAACUCAGAGAAAUUUGAGCUAAUACCGGAUGAUGUCUUCGGACCAAAGAUUUAUCGCCUUUAGAUGGGCCCGCGUUGGAUUAGCUAGUUGGUGGGGUAAAGGCCUACCAAGGCGUCGAUCCAUAGCUGGUCUGAGAGGAUGAUCAGCCACACUGGGACUGAGACACGGCCCAGACUCCUACGGGAGGCAGCAGUGGGGAAUAUUGGACAAUGGGCGAAAGCCUGAUCCAGCAAUGCCGCGUGAGUGAUGAAGGCCUUAGGGUUGUAAAGCUCUUUUACCCGAGAUGAUAAUGACAGUAUCGGGAGAAUAAGCUCCGGCUAACUCCGUG